Molecule: long non-coding RNA, 11639 nt
Filed under: Populus trichocarpa (black cottonwood)
Lineage: Eukaryota; Viridiplantae; Streptophyta; Magnoliopsida; Malpighiales; Salicaceae
Description: long non-coding RNA (PTRI_LNC004359)
Source: RNAcentral
AUGGUGGGUGGAUUUAUAGGUCAACACAUUGAAUAUUUUCCAAGUAAAACAGUUGGGUUGGGUAAUUUGAGUAUCAACGGAGAUAGAGAUUUUCAGGUCAAGUUCUUAAAUGGCAUUCAAGGAUUGAUUUGUGGAUGCAUCGAUGCAAGAAGUUUAUGUGAUGUUUUCUCAUUAGAGAAUGCAACUGAACUGAAGCUCAUCAGCAUUUGGAAAUGCCAUAACAUGGAGAAGCUGUUCCCGCUUGUGUUGCUGCCAAACCUCGUAAACCUGGAAAGGAUUGAAGUGAUGUUCUGUGAGAAAAUGGAGGAGAUAAUAGGAACAACAGAUGAAGAAAGCAACACCUCCAAUUCCAUCAAGGAAGUCAUUCUCCCAAAGUUAAGAUUUCUGAAAUUGAUUGGGUUACCAGAACUGAAAAGCAUUUGCAGUGCAAAACUGAUUUGCAAUUCUAUUAAACAUAUUAUUGUAAGGUGGUGUGAGAAGUUGAAGAGGAUACCAAUUUGUCUUCCGUUGCUUGAAAAUGGCCAGCCAUCUCCUCCCCCUUCUCUUGAAAAUAUCUAUUCAAGUCCAGAAGAAUGGUGGGAGACAGUAGUGGAGUGGGAGCAUCCUAAUGCAAAGGAUGUCCUUCGUCCCUUUGUAUGCUACUGAAUUGUCAUAUGUAUGCUACUGAAUUGUCAUAUAUAUAUUUUAUCUCGAUAGAUAAAUAAUUAUAAUUUGAAUUUUGAUUAAUAUUAUAUUUUCAUCCUAUUGAGUUUCUCCAAGAUGAAAAUCCAAAAAAAAAAAGAAACUAUAUUGAUUUAUCAUUAAAGUAACCUAAUAAAAUAAUAAAUCUAUUCACUAUUAUAAAUCAUCAGUGAAAGUAUUCUUCUACACACAUUUUUAAAAUGUCUAAGAGAUAUCACAUUAAAGUAACCUAAUAAAAUAAUAAAUCUAUAUAUAUUUUUAAAAUGUCUAAAAGAGAGUAUGAAUAUGGCAGUUUUGGUUUCUAAACCUGAAACUGCCAUAUUCAUAAACACAUUUUUUAAAUAACUGAAACUUCUAAGACCAAAUUUAAUACUAAAAUUAGAAAGUAGCAUAGGCGUGAUUUUUAAAAUUUUGAUCCCUAUAAUUAUUAUCUUUUUUAUUUUUAAUUUUAAUCUAAAAUAUUUUUAAAUAGUUAAGAUUAAAUAAUUUUUUAACUUAAAACAAUUCAACUUCAAUAAAAUAUCAAAAUAUUAUGAAAUUAAAAUAUUUUAACACUAAUAUUUUAAAUAUAAAGUUAGGUCAAUGUUAUCAAGUCUAAUGAGAUCUAAAACAUCCAUUUAUUUUGCUUAAAUUCCUACAAAGUAUAAACUUGAAAAAAAAUAACAUGAAUAUAAACCAUAUAUAUUAGUGAUAAAUCUAAUUUUAAAAAAUUAAUAUAAUAGUUAAUGAAAAUAGUAAUGAAAAAGAGCUUUUUAUACUUUGAUAGUUUAAUUAAUUAAUUGAACCAGGUUCAAUUUGAUUUAAUGGCUUUUUAAGACCGGAACAGAAUAUAUGGAAUGAAACCGGAACAUUUUGAACGGAAUUUAGCCAAAAAAUCUGGAAGAAACCGAGAUUUAAAAUGAGAUAAAAAUUAUUUUAUUUUAUUUUAUUUUUUAAAUUAGUAUGAAAUCAUUACAAAUAAAACGAAACAAAAUUAACAACUUUCAUUUUAAUAUUGAUUUAAUAAAAAGAACUCCUAAAGCAUGUACGUGGCUGCCAAAAAAGAAAUCCUAAAAUUAACUCAAUUGGAAAAGAUCACGGUAUUUACUACCAAGAUUGUUAUGCUCGCAAUCAAAAUGUAAUUUGUUUUUGUACUCAGAAUUAUGUUUGAUUACAUUUAAAAAUAUAUUUAUUAAAAAAAUAUUAAAUUAAUAUUUUUAAUAUUUUUUUAUAUAUUAAUAUUAAAAAUAAAAAAAUAUUUUGAUUACUGCAUCUCCACCCAACUUAAAUCCAUGCAUUAUGAAGAGGUAAAAAAAAGUAAGGUUUUUUCUUUCUUUUUUUCCUCAAUGGAACACUCAGGACAUUAAAUAGAAUAACUUCAAGAAAAACUAAAAACGAAUAAGAAGCUCACGAAUAGUUAAGAGACGUAUUCACACCUAUUUCAUUGUAAAUUAUAAUAAGUAAUCCAAUGUGUUUUUUUUUCUUUUAUUUUUUAAAAUUUAUUUUUGUUUAUUUCAUACUGGAUGGUUUAAAAUUCAACUUUAUAAUUUAUUUAUUUUUAUUCUAUCUUUUUAUAAAAUUAACGUGAUUUAUACUAGUUUACUGGUUUAAUGAAGUAUUUUUUUUAUUUAUUAAUUAAAAAAAAGCUAAACAGUGUGGGAAAAUCAAUAUUCACCCACACCCAUUCACUCACUGAUCGAAUAUGUUUUUUUUUAUUUUUUAAUUUUUUUAAUUGUUUUUUUUUAAAUUUUGACCUUCAAUAUUAGAUUGGUUUGAAAAUAGACUAUAUGAUUUAUUUAUUUAUUUUAUUUUUAAUAUUAAUACAUUAAAAUUAUAAAAAAACAUUAAAAAAAUCUAUUUAUCUUUUUUGAAAAAAAAACUAAAAACAAAAGCAAUCACCUGCUCUUAAUUAAUCACAUAUUUAAUAUGUCAUUGUUAAAGCACACGUUUUUCAAUAAAAUUGAAUUUUUUUCUUUUUAAAUUUUUUUUUUUUAUCAAAAAUAAAUUUUAAAAAAUAAAAAACAUUUUAAAAAGGAAAGUAUGUUAUUGUUUCCAAUAUUCACGUGUUUACAUUUUCUAGGCAUCUUCUUCCGAGCUCCAUAAUGGGGGUGGUCCACACGUUAACUUCCUAGCAAUAUUUAUACCUUCAUAAUUGGGGUGGUCCACACUAAUCAUUUUUGUAAUGAUUGUAAUUCUUAUUCAAUAAUCGAUUGUAAGAAAAAUCGAAGACUAACAUGAACUCAUAGAAAGAAAUAGCGUUUAUUAAUAUGAAAUAUUUCUUUUUUAUAUAGUGUGCUUACAAUUACAUAAAUAAUAUUUAAAAUAAAAUUUCAUACCUUUAUUUAUUUUUCUCGUGUCAUCUUAGUCUUAUUUGGGGUAAAAAAAUUCAAAUUCAUUCUAUUUUUUUAAUUUUCCUUAUGAUUUUUUAAUUUUUAUUUUAAAGCUUUUUAGGUUUUAUGAACAAUAUAAAAAAAAACUAAAAAGAUUGGUUAGUCCACUAUACAUGAAGACACAUGUUCCUAUGCAUUAUAUUAAGGGUUUGUUUAAUAGUGUGGUAAAAAUUAUAUUGCAAAAUGUUUUUUUGUUUAGAAAUAUAUUAAAAUAAUAUUUUAAAUUUUUUAAUUUUUUUUAAUAUUAUCACAUUAAAAAAAUAGAAAAACACACAAAAAAUAAUUUAAAUUUUAUUUUUUCCAAAAUGGUAAUGAGCAUUUUUCCAAUCUGUUGGGGGUGAUGUUGGUGGGCUUGGUGCUGCCUCAAGUAGCUUUCCAAAGUUUUAACAUUACAGUUUAUAGCUCCAAUUCUUUUGCACAUUACCUUGCUUUCCCUGAGCGUUGGCAUGACAAUACCUAUCAUCUUUUAGAUGAAGGGUGUGUUUAAGAAUAUGAUUAUAGUUUUUUUUAUGAUGUUUUUUAUGUUAAAAUAUAUUAAAAUAAUAUUUUUUUAUUUUAUAAUUUUUUUUAAAUCAGCGUAUCAAAAUAUUAAAAAAAAUUAAUUUUUAGUAAAAAAAAUUAAUUUUUUAAAAACACGAAUACAACCUCGUUUCCAAACACUCUAAAAAACUAACACUCUUUCCUCGCAACAGGAGACCUGCUGGGCAUCAGACCGUCAAAAUCCCAUGCAUUUUUUUGCUGUUCUUCAUGAAGUUCUAUUGUCGGUCCUGCUUUGCCAGCAUCAGUCUCCUUCACUAGCCACAUGCAGAUCUUUGCUUUUUAUUUCAUCUGUUUAAAUUUUUUUUUGAAAAAGAAGAAGAUUUAUAAGCACUUAUAUUAAUUAUUGUACAUGUAAUAUUUUCACAGAAAAGAAUAUUGUAAUGUUAAAUACGUACACGGCGUCUCUCUGUUUUUUUUUUUUUAAAGCAUUUUUGUUUUUAAUUUCAUUAUAAUAAUUUAUUUCAAAAAGCUUAUUAUGAAGCUCUCACAGUUUAAGAAAAAACAUUUCAAUGUAGAGUUGAAGCUCUCACAGACAAGUCAAGGCCCAGAGUCGUGAAAUUCACUUUGAACCAGCCUUAAAAACGUGUGGGACAUUUGAAAAGAGUGGGGCUGCCUAAUUUGAAAAGAGGGGCAUUUGGCGUAAAGGAGACGUGUGGGCAUUUUUUUUUCAUUUGAUGUUUUUUUUGGUUACUUUUGUAUGCUUUCCUCUGUUCCUAAUAUCCACCUCAGCAUGUAGCAUCCCUCUGUUAUGAACACCAUGGGUAUAUUGGUAAAAUAGAAAAACAUUCACUAUAAUUUGUCUCACAAAAGUUUCAUGGUUAAGUAAAAUCACUCUGCUCUAAUAUACACACUCAAAGGCAGAAGCAUAAGAACUGCAACUUAAACCCACACAUAAACUCUGUUUGUUUUUAUAUUUUUAAAAUGUUUUUAAAAGAAUUUAAAUGUCAUAACUUGUUUAUUUUUACAGUUACAAUGUAUUUUUUAAAAAUAUAUUUUUAAUAUUUUUUUAAUUAUUUUGAUAUUAUGAUAUAAAAUAUAAAAAAUUUAAAAAUAUUAUUUUAAUAUAUUUCUAAAUAAAAAAUAAUUUUUUGAAAAUUUUACAGCAUGCAUAAAUAUUCUAUUCUUUUGUGAAAAUUUCAUGUGUUUAUAUUUUCUUGGCAGCUUCUUCGAAGUUUCAACAUUGGGGGGUCCACACGUCAACUUUUUAUAUCUUAUAAUAUAAUAUUUGUGUUUCGCAUGGAGUUUUUAUUAAAAUAUAAAUUAUAUUUUUUAAAAUUAAAAAUAUAUAUUUGAUAUAAAAAAAAACCAAAAUAAUCUCCAAACCAAACACUCUGAUGUUUGGUAGGUGAGCGGUGGGUUGCUUCCUGAAAACUUCCUUCCAAUCAAGCAAUACGUUAAUUAAUUAUUAUUUGAGCUGAUUAUUUUAUUUUUAAUUUUAUAUUCAUGGGAAUUUGAGGUUAAUAAUUUAUUUUAAUUAAUUAUAAAGUUCUCAAGGUAAAAAAAAAAAAAAAAAGCUUCAACGAUUAAUUUAAGUUGGUAUUUGAUUUGAUACCAUUUUAUUCAAUUUAAUUCAUUAAAAAUAAUUGAAACUUUGAACACCAAAUAUGAUACUGAAAUCAAAAAGUAGCCUGGUGUGUUUUUCAAAAUUCUGUUCCCUAGAGUUUUUGCAUUUUGCAUUUUAAUUUUGAUUUUUAAUUUUAAUUCAAAAUUUUAUUUUAUUAAUUUUUUAAUUUAUGAAUUUGAGAUAAAAAAAUUCACUAAAAACCUCGGAAAAAAUGGAAAAUUAUUGGCCGACAAUUUUGGCAACAAAAAAAACACGAUAAUCCUUGUAUUAAUGGAAAACUAGUGUGCAGAUUGGAUAGCAAAUCAUACUUUAUAGGUCGAGGGCUAAAAAUAUAAAUUUCCAUUGGUGUAGAAAAGUUCAGGUAUACUAUCAUAAAAUAAGAUAAUGGUUGAUGGUGGGAUAAUAAUUGUUUUUAAAUUAUAUUUUUAUUUGAAAAUAUAUUAAAAUAAUAAUUUUUUAUUUUUUAAAAUUUAUUUUUAAUAUUAAAAUAUCAAAAUAAUCUAAAAAUAUAAAAAAAAUUUAAUUUAAAAUAACAAAAAUAUCAAGUUUUUUAAAAAACAUGAUUCAACUGUGAAAUUAUUAUUAUUUUUGUCGGGGUGUUGGUUGUCUAGGUAGGGCCAGAAAGGUCAUGGGAUGGAGAGUUGCUGAUAAUCUCAUUAACCAUGACAUGGCUCAAAUGUGGGAGACUAAUUAAAAGUCUGUAAAGUUGUAUAAAUGUUUGUAAUUAAUAUUUUUGAAUUGUUUUUAUGUGGUAAUAUAAAAAAAAAAUUAAAAAAUUAUUUUAAUAUAUUUUUAAAUAAAAAAUGAUUUUUUUAAAAAAACUUCACACAAUACAAAAAUAUGCUAUUCUUUUUUAUAUUCAUGUGUUUACAUUUUCUUGGCAGCUUCUUCAAAGUGUCAACAUGGAGGCGGGUCCACACGUUAACUUUCUGUACCUUACUAAUAAAUAAUAUUAUGUAAAAGAGAUAGCGGCUGUAACGUUCUCUUCCACAUCUCAUCUCAUUAUUUUCCUUUCCUUUAUUAUUUUUCUAAACCAUAUAUUCUUCUCUGACCUGUGAUUUCUCUUCCUUUUCUUUUGGCUGACCACUGCUCAAGCAAACCAGCUAGCACUUGAAGAACAUCUUGAAUCCAGGUAAAUUAUUUGUCAUUCAUCUUGUCUGAAUCUUUAAAGUAAUCCAUGAUAAAUAGAUAGAUCUUUUUCUCAGAUUUUAUAAUCCAUGCCAUGUGGUGUUCAUACUGAUUAAAUUAACCCUAAACGUUGAAUUCAUUGUUUUCGUCUUUUCAAGAUUGUUUGCUGUUUUUAACUCCUUAUUUUAGAUUCACCCUUUUCUUUUCCAAUUAAUGGGACUGCCAUUUAUUUUUAUUCAAUAUUUUUCCACUUUCUUUUUCUUACAAUGAUUCAAUGUACUAUCUUGAUCGGUAAUUACCUUUCAUUAAACAAAAUAAGAAUAUUUAAAAUAUCAAAUGUGUUCAAGGGAUUCCGACUAUCUAUCUGCUGUUUGUAGAAUUUAAGCACUUUUUUCAUUAGUCACUUUUAUAAACUCAUUUAAUAUUUGCCUUUAUUCUUUUUAUUUGCUUCAAUGUGGAAUCGACACUCCAGAGAAUGUGAGAUUUUUUUUUUCUUUGCUAUGUGCUUUCUGUUCUUUUUUCACCUCAGUAUGUACUAAUCAUCUUGUACUUGUGGUCAGACGGAAAGGUUCCUCCCAUCUUCUAUGGAUGACUUGGCAGAGUUCGAUACUGAAUCACUACUUCUCUCGUAAGUCAUUCUUAAGCAUAUUUUAUCAAAAGAUGAUUGCUUGCAGUUUAGUUAUUCUUCAGUUUAUCCUAUAUAUUAUUCCAUGGAAGCAGGACGGCACCGGAGGUUCCAGUCAACCAAGGCUCCAUAUCAUGCAAUGAUCAAGGUGGACAGAACAAUGUGAUCAACGAUAGUAUUCAACAAACAACUCAGUUUCCACCUUCAUUUCCUGAUCAAACCAUGGUGAGUACUCAUGCUUCCUCCAAUUUGCUACCAUGUCCAUUGAAUUAAGCAUCAUAAUUCCUUUAUUCAUCAACCUCAGACGGGACAUGGCAAUAUGACACCGAACGCAACCACAUCACAACAUGGUGAAGUCAAUCAACCUGGACCUUCUUCUCCUGCUCCCUGGUAUCCAAUUUUUCAUGUUUAGUAUUUUCUGAAAAAAAAAAAAGUUUUUCAAUCAUUAUUUAACUUCUUCUUCUUCCUCUUGUUGUUGUACUUAUCAGUGAAUUCAUUAUGUUUGAAUAUAGGUAUCAGCCUUAUCCCAAUUUAUUUGAUCCUCAAUGUGCCAAUCCCAUGUUACCCGCACCAUCAAUGCCUUUGAGGUAAGCUAAAAUGAUAUCAAAUGCUUAGUGGAUUGAUAGCUAACAAUUAUGCAUAUGUAUAAAGAAAUCACUAACAAAUGUUGCUAAUUUAGGGACCAACAAUGGACUGAUUAUCAGUUACCAAUGAGCAAUCAAGUGCCUGCGAUGUCACCUGGACCUCAACCUCCAAUGAAUCAAUGGUAUUAACCUCGAAUAUACACUUUUUUAAUCAUGAAAACAAUGAACUUGACCAAAAUUGACGAGGAUCUUUCAAGUCUUUUUGAGCUCUCUAUCUCUCUUUUUUGUGAGAAUAACAGUUCUAUGUUUAACUAUUUGAAUAUUAUUCAGGCAUCAGAACUCCUUUAUUCAUCAACCUCAGUCGGGACAUGGCUAUUUGACACAGAACGCAACCACUUCACAACAUGGACCUUCUUCUCCUGCUCCAUGGUAUCCAAUUUUUCAUUUUUAGUAUUUUCAGUAAUAAAAACAAUUAGUUUUCCUACAUAGUAUUAAUACCUUUUUGAUAAUUAGAUACACCAUUGAUUUUUAGUGCUUAAGAGAGACUACCAAUUAUCGAAAGGUUUUAUAAUAUGAUCAUUUCAUUUAUAUAUAGGUCACAGAUGGAUAACCUCCAAGUCCGAGGAUUGCAAAAUCAAACUGCUACGCCAAAUGCCUCAAAUCCUGGCCCUGACACUUCCUUGCAAAGUCAAAAUAGGGGUUUAAAUUCUCAACAAGUAAGAAGUCUAACUGAAUUAUUGUCGUCUUUUUUCCCCCUAUGAUUAUGCUAUAAACUAACUAUCGAUUUUAAUAGCAAAAUAGGGGUAACAGCACUGAAGUAGUUUCUCAUCCAUCCAGAUAUGAUUUUUAUUCUUUAUUUUGACUGAUUUUGACCUCCCCUUUUUUUCCGUAGGUCGAAAUGGUUGGAUCAAAUGAUCCGUUUUGGAAUUAUGUUGAAUAUAGGGCUGAUGGUAGGAUGAAGUGUAAGUUUUGUCCACAUACAUAUGCCAAGGAUACUUCCAUUUCGAGGAUCAAAUGGCAUUUAUCAAGAGAGAGAGGGCAUAAUGUUGCCAUUUGUCCUGGGGUGACUACAGAAGUUCAAGAAAAAGCCUUUCUAGCUAUCUGUGGCGGGAACAAAAGACAGAAAAGCACAGCAAGUUCAGUCAAUGUUAAUGAGUGUGGAAUUUCAACUUGUCCACAAGAACAAAACAUUGAGAUUGAAAAUACGGCAGGAGGGAUUGGAAGGGUACAAAGAGAAGUUCAGGUUGUAGAACCCGGAGUAGGAGAAGAGAGGAUUACUUCACAUGCAAUAGCAGGAAACGACGUAGUAAGCAUGACCGGAAUGAGAGCACAAGAAGAUAGAGUUUCCGAAGGGGCACUCGAGAGCAGACAGAGGACAGAACCAGUGGAGGAGGAUGUGGAGAAUAGUCGAAGAUCAGUGCAGGUUGGUGCUGGAGCUAGAUCUUCUGAAAGUCUGGAAUACAACAAGACUAUAGGAAUUCCAUUACCUCCUAGCUCUACAAAGCUAGUGGGUCAAGCAUUCAAAGAGAAUACGAAGGUGAUAUGGUCUUUGUUAAUGGAUGAGGAUGUCUUAAGUAUGGGUAUUUAUGGGAUGGGGGGAGUUGGUAAAUCCACAAUACUGCGACAUAUCCAUAAUGAGCUUCUACAAAAACCAGAUAUUUGUGAUCAUGUUUGGUGGGUGACCGUGUCUCAAGAUUUCAGCAUUAAUAAAUUGCAGAAUCUUAUUGCUGAACGUCUUCAUCUAGACCUUUCAAGAGAAGAUGAUGAACUGCAUAGAGCUGCCAAAUUGUCAGAAGAACUAACGAAGAAACAAAAAUGGAUUCUCAUUUUAGAUGAUUUGUGGAACAAUUUUGAGCUACACGAAGUGGGAAUUCCUGAAAAGUUUGAAGGAUGCAAGCUGAUUAUGACAACUCGAUCAGAAAUGAUUUGUCAUCGGAUGGCUUGCCAGCACAAAAUCAAAGUGAAGCCACUUUCUAAUGGAGAAGCUUGGUUUUUGUUCAUGGAGAAACUUGGACGUUAUGUAGAACUUUCACCAGAAGUGGAAGGAAUUGCGGAAGCUGUUGCAAGGGAAUGUGCUGGUUUGCCAUUGGGAAUUAUUACAGUGGCAGGAAGCUUGAGGGGAGUAGAUGAUCUACAUGAAUGGAGAAAUACAUUGAACAAAUUGAGAGAAUCAGAAUUUAGGGACAUGGAUGAGAAGGUAUUCAAGCUAUUGAGGUUUAGUUAUGAUCGGUUAGGUGAUUUAGCACUACAACAAUGUCUCUUGUACUGUGCAUUAUUUCCUGAAGAUCAUGGGAUUCCGAGGGAGAUGUUGAUAGGUUAUUUGAUCGAUGAGGGGAUAAUUAAAGUAAAGAGGAGCAGGAAAGAUGCAAUUGACGAGGGCCACACGAUGCUUAAUAGACUUGAAAAUGUCUGCCUAUUGGAAAGUGCUAAAAUGUAUUAUGAUGAUAGUAGAAUUGUCAAGAUGCAUGACUUGAUUAGGGACAUGGCCAUCCAAAUACUGCAAGACAACUCUCAAGUCAUGGUUAAAGCAGGUGCACAAUUAAAAGAGUUGCCAGAUGCAGAGGAAUGGACGGAGAAUCUGACGAUAGUCUCACUAAUGCAAAACGAGAUCGAAGAAAUUCCUUCCAGCCAUUCACCAAUGUGUCCAAAUCUGUCCACUCUAUUUCUAUGUGAUAAUAAAGGGUUGAGAUAUGUUGCGGAUUCAUUUUUCAAGCAAUUGCAUGGGCUCAUGGUCCUCGAUCUGUCUCGCACAGGUAUUGAAAAUUUGCCAGACUCUGUCUCUGAUUUGUUGAGUCUCACUGCAUUCUUGCUCAAUGAUUGUCGGGAGUUAAGACUUGUUCCAUCAUUAAAGAAGCUCAGGGCAUUGAAGAGGUUGGAUCUCUCUUGGACUAUGCUUGGAAAGAUGCCGCAAGGAAUGGAAUGCCUAACCAACCUGAGGUAUCUUAGAAUGAAUGGAUGUGGUCAAAAGGAGUUUCCUAGUGGGAUAUUACCAAAACUCUCUCACCUGCAAGUCUUUGAACUAGAACGGUUUCCGGUGCUUCCAAUAACAGUUAAAGGAAAGGAAGUAGGAUCCUUGAGAGUCUUUGAACUAGAACGGUUUACGGCGCUUCCAAUAACAGUUAAAGGAAAGGAAGUAGGAUCCUUGAGAAAUUUGGAAAGUUUGGAAUGCCAUUUUGAAGGUUUCUCUGACUUCGUGGAUUAUCUCAGAUCUCGGGAUGGGAUCCUAUCAUUAAGCACAUACAAAAUUUUAGUAGGAGAGGUGUUUAGCUAUUCAGAGCAAUGCAUUGAAGAUUUUCCAAGUAAAACAGUUGGGUUGGGUAAUUUGAGUAUCAAUGGAGAUAGAGAUUUUCAGGUCAAGUUCUUAAAUGGCAUUCAUGGACUGGUUUGUCAAUGCAUCGAUGCAAGAAGUUUAUGUGAUGUUUUGUCAUUAGAGAAUGCAACUGAACUGGAGCGCAUCAGCAUUCGGGAAUGCCAUAACAUGGAGAGCUUGGUUUCAUCUUCUUGGUUCUGCUCUGCUCCACCACGAUUGCCACCAUAUAAUGGUAUGUUUUCUGGUCUUAAAGUGUUUUUUUGUUAUAGCUGUAAAAGUAUGAAGAAGCUGUUCCCACUUGUGCUGCUGCCAAACCUCGUAAACCUGGAAAGGAUUUAAGUGAAGCACUGGUGGAUUACUCGUGUUGGGAAAACAUUGAUGAUUUUCCAAGUAAAACAGUUGGGUUGGGUAAUUUGAGUAUCAACGGAGAUGGAGAUUUUCAGGUCAAGUUCUUAAAUGGCAUUCAAGGAUUGGUUUGUGAAUUCAUCGAUGCAAGAAGUUUAUGUGAUGUUUUGUCAUUAGAGAAUGCAACUGAACUUGAGUUCAUCGACAUUAGGCGUUGCCAUAACAUGGAGAGCUUGGUUUCAUCUUCUUGGUUCUGCUAUGCUCCACCACGAUUGCCAUCAUAUAAUGGUGCGUUUUCUGGUCUUAAAGUGUUUUGUUGUGAUGGAUGUAACAAUAUGAAGAAGCUGUUCCCACUUGUGCUGCUGCCAAACUUCGUAAACCUGGAAAGGAUUGUUGUUACUGAAUGUGAGAAAAUGGAGGAGAUAAUAGGAACAACAGAUGAAGAAAGCAGCACCUCCAAUUCCAUCACGGAAGUCAUUCUCCCAAAGUUAAG